CGCGUAGGUGGUUAGGUAAGCGAGAUGUGAAAGCCCCGGGCUUAACCUGGGAACGGCAUUUCGAACUGUCUGACUAGAGUAUGGUAGAGGGUAGUGGAAUUUCCUGUGUAGCGGUGAAAUGCGUAGAUAUAGGAAGGAACACCGGUGGCGAAGGCGGCUACCUGGACCAAUACUGACACUGAGGUGCGAAAGCGUGGGGGGCAAACA
RNAcentral lists this ribosomal RNA (207 nucleotides) under uncultured bacterium. RNAcentral describes it as "partial 16S ribosomal RNA". It matches the Rfam family "Bacterial small subunit ribosomal RNA", at positions 568 to 774 of the family's 1533-position model. The record is from RNAcentral.